RNAcentral lists this ribosomal RNA (440 nucleotides) under uncultured bacterium. Its description in RNAcentral is "bacterial SSU rRNA". It matches the Rfam family "Bacterial small subunit ribosomal RNA", at positions 338 to 795 of the family's 1533-position model. The record is from RNAcentral.
CCUANGGGUGGCAGCAGUGGGGAAUAUUGGACAAUGGGCGCAAGCCUGAUCCAGCCAUGCCGCGUGAGUGAUGAAGGCCUUAGGGUUGUAAAGCUCUUUCGCCAGGGACGAUAAUGACGGUACCUGGAUAAGAAGCCCCGGCUAACUUCGUGCCAGCAGCCGCGGUAAUACGAAGGGGGCUAGCGUUGUUCGGAAUUACUGGGCGUAAAGCGUAUGCAGGCGGACUUUUAAGUCGGGGGUGAAAUCCCGAGGCUCAACCUCGGAACUGCCUUCGAUACUGGAAGUCUUGAGUCCGGGAGAGGUGAGUGGAACUGCGAGUGUAGAGGUGAAAUUCGUAGAUAUUCGCAAGAACACCAGUGGCGAAGGCGGCUCACUGGCCCGGUACUGACGCUGAGAUACGAAAGCGUGGGGAGCAAACAGGAUUAGAUACCCCUNUAGUC